Molecule: RNA transcript, 852 nt
Organism: Cylas formicarius (sweet potato weevil)
Lineage: Eukaryota; Metazoa; Arthropoda; Insecta; Coleoptera; Brentidae
Gene: Tim23
Gene name: mitochondrial import inner membrane translocase subunit Tim23
Exons: 5
Source: RefSeq, a predicted model, not a curated record
ACAUAACACAUGCAAAAUUAGUUAUUGGUUAUUAAAAGUUAACUUUUACAAUAGUCUUCUUAAAAUUUAGCAAGCAUGGCUUUGAACGGAAGCAACGAUAUAUAUUCCCAAAAUUACGGCGGUACCGGUGGGUUAACAGGUCAAUUCAAGCCCUUUUCGUCUCCAUAUUUAAACUUCGAUCCCGGCUACAUCCCUCAAACGCAGCCUGAGUUUAUUUUCCUGGAUGGCGGUAGCAAACAAAGGGGUCGGUUCGAACUGGCUUUUGGUCAAAUUGGGGGCUCAUGUAUGAUUGGUGCUGGACUGGGGGGCGCUUCGGGUCUUUACAACGGAUUGAAAGCAACUACAUUAGCGGGCCAAACAGGAAAACUUAGAAGAACACAAUUAUUGAAUCACAUCAUGAAACAGGGUAGCGCUACUGCUAAUAGUUUCGGAUCUGUAGCAGUGAUUUAUUCAGCGUUUGGAGUUAUACUUUCAUGGGCUAGGGGCGCUGAUGAUGAUCUCAACACGAUAGUUGCGGCAACAGCCACAGGCUGUUUAUAUAAAGCAACAGCUGGCUUGAAGAAAUGUGGCAUGGGUGGAGCAGUAGGAUUAGGCGCAUCUCUCCUCUACGCUGUUUGGAAUAAUCGAGACAAAAUAUCUGAAAUUGGCCGUUUUAAUCCAGCGUAAGAUGCCUGCUUUCCAAAGGCGUUUUUUUACCUAGACUAGUUUUAAAUUUGAAUAGGCAAAGGUAAGACAGGCCACGGGUACCACAAGAACGAGAAAAUUGUAACUUCCCCUGUAAAUAAAUAUAUUUAUGAAGAUUUGUGAUAGUCAGUUGUAUAAAAUUAAAUAAAUUAGUGCUAUUUUCCUUUC